Unclassified non-coding RNA from Papio anubis (olive baboon), 148 nucleotides. It matches the Rfam family "Metazoan signal recognition particle RNA". From Rfam's summary of the family: The signal recognition particle (SRP) is a universally conserved ribonucleoprotein. It is involved in the co-translational targeting of proteins to membranes. The eukaryotic SRP consists of a 300-nucleotide 7S RNA and six proteins: SRPs 72, 68, 54, 19, 14, and 9. NCBI's taxonomy places the organism in Eukaryota, Metazoa, Chordata, Mammalia, Primates, Cercopithecidae. The record is from Ensembl.
GCCAGGUGUGGUGGCGCGCACCUGUAAUCCCAGCAACUCGGGAGGCUGAGACAGGAGAAUCGCUUGAACCCAGGAGGCGGAGGUUGCAGUGAGCUGGGAUUGCUCCACUGCACUCCAGCCUGGGCGACAGAGCGCGACUCUGUCUCAA